RNAcentral lists this ribosomal RNA (443 nucleotides) under uncultured bacterium. RNAcentral describes it as "partial 16S ribosomal RNA". It matches the Rfam family "Bacterial small subunit ribosomal RNA", at positions 339 to 795 of the family's 1533-position model. The record is from RNAcentral.
CUACGGGGUGCAGCAGUCGAGAAUCUUCCGCAAUGCACGAAAGUGUGACGGAGCGAUGCCGCGUGAUGGAUGAAGCGUUUUGGCGCGUAAACAUCUUUUAUACGUGAACAAGUUUAUUGAGAUUAGCGUAUGAAUAAGGGGCUCCCAAUUCUGUGCCAGCAGGAGCGGUAAUACAGAAGCCUCAAGCGUUACCCGGAAUCACUGGGCGUAAAGGGUGUGUAGGUGGCAUGAUUAGUCGUUUGUUAAAUCCCGGGGCUCAACCCCGGAAUCGCGGGCGAAACGGUCAAGCUAGAGGGUGCGAGGGGUCUGCAGAACUCAUGGUGUAGGGGUGAAAUCCGUUGAUAUCAUGGGGAAUACCGAAAGCGAAGGCAGCAGACUGGCGCAUUCCUGACACUCAGACACGAAACCUAGGGUAGCGAAGGGGAUUAGAUACCCUAGUAGUC